RNAcentral lists this long non-coding RNA (1190 nucleotides) under Naja naja (Indian cobra). RNAcentral describes it as "lncRNA (ENSNNAG00000011225.1)". The record is from RNAcentral. Lineage: Eukaryota; Metazoa; Chordata; Lepidosauria; Squamata; Elapidae.
ACACAAUUUCUACUGCCCUUACUUGGUCAGCUUUCAAUUGUAAAUGUUCUCCUUUUUCUGGCCUAGAAUCAUCCGAUAUUCUGACAUUCUUCUAUGUGCCCACAAAAAGUUUGUUGAAGUGAGGAUCUCAGCAUUAAAAGCAAGUUUGAUACAGGAUGCUAUGGAGAAAAUGGAGAAAAUUGGCCGGAUUGUGCUGCCAAACCACAAGGAUAAAAGAUUUUAUGACAAGAAAUACCAAGUGUUUCUAAAACUUGCAGAAGAUCAAAGAAAAUAUAAAUCCAUCAUGCAGAAUGCAUAGACAGCAUGUUAGAGGUCUGACUGAUUUCUUUGACUUUCUUGAUUAGCUAUUUACAUUAGUAAAAAUAAAAAAUACUUUGUAGCCUGUUGAAUAUGAACAGAGAUGUUAUUUUAUUAAAGUGAUAUCAUGGUACAAACUUGUCAAAUCUACGUUUCUUGAAUCAGUGUCUCAACCAGAACUGCAGCUAUCAUUCAGCAUUCAAUUUUUUCAUAAUUGCAUAAUCUGUUUAAAAGCUUGCAAAAAUAUGUGUAUUAGGCAAAAGGGUAUAAAAAUAUAUAGAUAAAAUAUGCAAAUGCAUACUUUUUAAAAUUUGUAAAUUUACGUGAAAAUAAAAUAAACUGAAGCUUGGGAAAGAGAAUGUCAAAAUUAUACAGUAAAUGUACCUUCAUUGGUCAAGCUUUCUAUUUAAUGUCAAAAACUAAACUGGAGAAAGAUUUUCAUUCUUGUUACUUAUUGUUGUUUCCAGUAAUAAAAUCAAGAGUCAUAAUGUGACAUUAUGAGAACCAAGAAUUAAGAAGACAUAUUCUUAAUGAACUUUGUAGAAUAAAUUGCUGCAGAAGAGAAUAGUUAGAUAGAAUUUUACACCUUAUUUUUUUCAAUUCAUUAUCAGUGUAAUUUUAAAUAUGUCUUAAAACUCAUUUGUCAGCCUUCAAUGUAGACUAAGUCAGGAAACAGAAUGUUGGUCUCUUGUUAUACAAGAAUGUUGGAGGAUCUUGAUUUUUGCUAGAGUAACAAAAUGUUAAAAAUCUGGUUGUGUUUUCCUAUCCAUCUUUCUUAUAUUCAGGGAGUUAAGGCAGAAUCCGUUUAAGUUUCUUUCUAAUGUCCUUGAUUUCUGGGUUUAAUAAAUGCAUAGUUUGUUCAAGGUGAUCUUUGUGGCUCUGUCGUAUUGCAG